RNAcentral lists this ribosomal RNA (467 nucleotides) under uncultured bacterium. Its description in RNAcentral is "partial 16S ribosomal RNA". It matches the Rfam family "Bacterial small subunit ribosomal RNA", at positions 28 to 506 of the family's 1533-position model. The record is from RNAcentral.
GACGAACGCUGGCGGCGUGCUUAACACAUGCAAGUCGAACGGAAAGGCCCUGCUUUUGUGGGGUGCUCGAGUGGCGAAUGGGUGAGUAACACGUGAGUAACCUGCCCUUGACUUUGGGAUAACUUCAGGAAACUGGGGCUAAUACCGGAUAGGAGCUCCUGCUGCAUGGUGGGGGUUGGAAAGUUUCGGCGGUUGGGGAUGGACUCGCGGCUUAUCAGCUUGUUGGUGGGGUAGUGGCUUACCAAGGCUUUGACGGGUAGCCGGCCUGAGAGGGUGACCGGCCACAUUGGGACUGAGAUACGGCCCAGACUCCUACGGGAGGAAGCAGUGGGGAAUAUUGCACAAUGGGCGGAAGCCUGAUGCAGCAACGCCGCGUGCGGGAUGACGGCCUUCGGGUUGUAAACCGCUUUCGCCUGUGACGAAGCGUGAGUGACGGUAAUGGGUAAAGAAACACCGGCUAACUACGU